CUGAAUCUUGUAUGUCAUAUAAAAGAAUAAAUUGUCUUAUAUGAUGUGGGUCAUAGUGUCUGAUAAAAAGAGCUCAAGUGUCAAUAUAUCCGAGUUUGAUCUCACUAACCAUAAGAACCGAACCGUGAACACCGUCACUAGCGACUUUAGAUUCUUCACAUGAAAUAAUUGGUGAUUUCACAUCUAAUGUUUCCUACAAUAAAGAAAUAUACAUACAAAAGCCCAGUGUAAGAUCGAAUUGUCUUAAUUGUAAAGUCACUCAUAAGAAUCACAUAAUGAUUUCAUUGCACAUGUACAUAUUGG
Molecule: long non-coding RNA, 303 nt
Filed under: Citrus sinensis (sweet orange)
Lineage: Eukaryota; Viridiplantae; Streptophyta; Magnoliopsida; Sapindales; Rutaceae
Description: long non-coding RNA (CSIN_LNC005538)
Source: RNAcentral